CCUGUACAUGGAAUUAGUAUUAAAAAUUAAUAAUUAAUUUCUUAACAAAAAUUAACUUUUGUUAAUUAAUUUAUUAAUUUCUUAAGAACUUUUGUUAAUUAAUUUGUCUCAGAAAGAAGAAAUUCUGGCUAAAUGGAAGAAUGGCAGAAAUCACAACAUUAAAGGAAUGACAUCCUGCAAGAAUCAAACAAUAUAUGAACUUGUUUGAUUCUUGACGGAUGAAUGUGUGAAAGUGGUUUCAGCAGACUCCUGCAAAAAGGAGGUUCCUAUAUCUGGAUCAAUCAUUCAAGAAAAAGCUUGAAUAUUCAAAUUCUGCAGGAAAUGAAUUUUUUAAAGCGAGCAAUGGAUGUGUUGUAAAGCUUUUGCAAAAGACACAUAAUCAUGUUUCAAGCAGUGUGUAGAGAGUAAAUCAACCCUGAAGAGGAUAUGCAGGAUUGGUUAUCACACAUGCCAUCAUCAUUGACAGUUUUAAUUUUAAAGAUGUUUUCAAUAUGGAUGAAACUGGUUUGUUUUUGUGUACUUCACACUAGAACAAUGAUGAUAGAGAAGUAUCAAACAAAUGAAUCACUGUACUGUUCUGUGUCAGUGCAAUUGGGGGAAGAAUAACGACUGAUCAUUAAUAAAGCUCUUUGUCCAUGUUGUUUCAAGCACAAUGAUUUUUCAAAAAUGGAGGUUGAAUGGCAUGCUAAUUCAUUUCAUUUGACAAGCUUAGAUGUCAAAUUAGAUGCUUGAUAUUACAGAACAGAAAUUUAACAAUCAUUUGAAAAAAGAAAACUGAUCCAUUCUCCUCUUAGACAAUAUGCUUUACCACAUUCCUGAUAAUCUUGAUCUCACCAAUGCUCAACUCCAAUUUCUUCUGCCAACAUGACAAACAAACUUCAGCUCUCAGAUCUAAGGAUCAUUCACAGUUUAAACUUCAUUACCAAUGUCAAUUUUUACAAAUACUUAUUGCAAAAUUGGAUGAAUCUAAAGAUGCAGCUGAUGUGGCCAAAAGAAUCACUAUUUCUGAUACUGUUUAUUGGAUGAAAACCUCGUGGUCAUCUUCAACUGCAUUGCCAUCAUGCUGCAUUAUCAUCAACCAUUGUGAAAUACUUUAUAAAAUGUGGAAUUAGAACUAAUUUGACCUCAAAUGCCAACAACAAUCAAAAAGAUGAUUUGCUUUUUGAAGUUAUGGAAUUGGGAAAUAACACUUGUUCAGGUUCAACAAGAACAAUAGUAUUGCACGCACAAUUUUCUUGAUUGCUAUCAACAAAAUUGUGCAAUACUAUGAAGUUGAAGAUGACCACUGGGAACAAGCUAAUGAAAAUAUCAUAAUAGAAGAAUGCAACAAUAACAAUGAUUCUGAAAAUACAGUAGAUGCAUCCAUAAAAUUCUCAGAUAACCAUUGCCUAAUCGUUACUAUAACAUUGUCUGGUUCAUGUACAGCACUGUUUGGC
Molecule: long non-coding RNA, 1436 nt
Filed under: Androctonus crassicauda
Lineage: Eukaryota; Metazoa; Arthropoda; Arachnida; Scorpiones; Buthidae
Source: RNAcentral